UCAAGAUAUAUUUUUUACUGGUUUUGUCACUCAUUUUCCGAUUGGGAUCGAAGGCGCUAAGACAACCGGGUGCGAGUGCUGCUGGCGGGGCUGUGGGUGAGCUUUGAGCAGAUCUCCCCCCUUAUAGAGUUGGAGGAGAAACGACAAUUGAAAGAUUGAUGGCUGCAAGCGGACCAGCGUAGCGGUACAGUAUGUGUUUCCCAGGCCAUGCGAUACCGAUGCCAUCCCGGCCCACAAAUAUAGAGUGUAAUUCCCGGUAUCACUCUCACCGCUAGUCCCUGCCCCACACUCCCUUGUCUAGACCGCUUUACCGUUUGCUCUCGACGACUUUCUUGGCUUCAAAGUGGUUAAAUGGGUUGGGCAAUGGGUAUGGCAACUGGCAUGCUCCAGAGUUCUAUGGGCACAGAACCAGACAGCGAAAAUCAGGUGUAAAUGGCAGGUAAAUAGUCAAAAUAGGUGCGUCAAAAUACUCCGUUAACUUGUUUGAAUUUCAUUAUUCUUGUAACAGGUACAUUUGCUGUAGAAAGAGGAAAGGAUUCUUAAUGGCUGCAAGCAGGAGCACAACUUAUUGAUGAAAAGAGAGAACUAAAAGAACGAGAGACAAACCAAUUAACAGCAAAAACAUUCUUUCAUAAUGCCAAUGGCAAUCAGCUGUUUAUACCACUCGCACAAUAAGAACACAUUUCUCGAAUGUUUGCAAUGUUAAGUACUCGUAGGUGUUUACAAUAUUACAAAGUGGCGCAUAAUAAAUUGAAUAAAUACAUCCGCUAGGCUGUGGCAACAGCGCGUGGUACAUACAGUA
RNAcentral lists this long non-coding RNA (802 nucleotides) under Drosophila guanche. The record is from RNAcentral. Lineage: Eukaryota; Metazoa; Arthropoda; Insecta; Diptera; Drosophilidae.